RNAcentral lists this ribosomal RNA (309 nucleotides) under uncultured bacterium. Its description in RNAcentral is "bacterial SSU rRNA". It matches the Rfam family "Bacterial small subunit ribosomal RNA", at positions 28 to 334 of the family's 1533-position model. The record is from RNAcentral.
GAUGAACGCUAGCGGCAGGCUUAACACAUGCAAGUCGAGGGGUAACAUGUCUGCUUGCAGAUGAUGACGACCGGCGCACGGGUGCGUAACGCGUAUAGAAUCUGCCUUACACUGAGGGAUAGCCUUUGGAAACGAAGAUUAAUACCUCAUAGUAUAUUUUUAUCGCAUGAUUUAAAUAUUAAAGAUUUAUCGGUACAAGAUGAGCAUGCGUCCCAUUAGUUAGUUGGUAAGGUAACGGCUUACCAAGACAAUGAUGGGUAGGGGUCCUGAGAGGGAGAUCCCCCACACUGGUACUGAGACACGGACCAG